Molecule: ribosomal RNA, 479 nt
Filed under: uncultured bacterium
Lineage: Bacteria
Description: partial 16S ribosomal RNA
Rfam family: Bacterial small subunit ribosomal RNA
Source: RNAcentral
GAUGAACGCUGGCGGCGUGCUUAACACAUGCAAGUCGAGCGAGAAGUUUUGAAAAGAUUCUUCGGAUGAAAUUUAAAAUGGAAAGCGGCGGACGGGUGAGUAACGCGUAGGCAACCUGCCCCAUACAAAGGGAUAGCAUUUGGAAACGAAUAUUAAUACCUUAUGAAACUUAACUAGUGCAUGCUAGGUAGGUCAAAGAUUUAUCGGUAUGGGAUGGGCCUGCGUCUGAUUAGCUAGUUGGUGAGGUAACGGCUCACCAAGGCGACGAUCAGUAGCCGACCUGAGAGGGUGAACGGCCACAUUGGAACUGAGACACGGUCCAAGCUCCUACGGGAGGCAGCAGUGGGGAAUAUUGCACAAUGGGGGAAACCCUGAUGCAGCAACGCCGCGUGAACGAUGAAGGCCUUUGGGUCGUAAAGUUCUGUUCUAGGUGAUGAAAACUGACAGUAACCUAGGAGAAAGCCCCGGCUAACUCCGUG